RNAcentral lists this long non-coding RNA (1488 nucleotides) under Equus caballus (horse). RNAcentral's name for it is "lncRNA (ENSECAG00000044162.1)". The record is from RNAcentral. Lineage: Eukaryota; Metazoa; Chordata; Mammalia; Perissodactyla; Equidae.
GUUUUAUGUCCAUAUAGCAGUAAGGAUCUUAAUAGACUUCUGUGUGGCUGAACAUUGUGCUUCCUAGAUAUCAUGCAAUUUAACGGUCCUAUCAACUCCAGGAAGAAGGCCUUCUUGGCCCUAUUUACCCGACGCUGAAGCUAAGUGGCUGGUGGAAAGUCACACGGUAGAGACACUGUCAUGCACAACCCCUUCUCCUUUCCCUUUUUCUAACAACAGACCCCUGCCCCCUGUGAUGGCUGGCUCUCGAGAGGGGCAUGUAACACAAGCUGAGCCAAUCAGAAUCCUUCCCUGGGACCCUCUCUGGAGCUGGAGGAAAAGAGCUCUUUCUUCUCUGGUUGUGCAGCUCUUCUUUCUAGAAGUUUCUUUUCCACCACAUCCACACAAUUGUAGAGGGAACAGCCAUGUUACAACAUGACCCUGCCUCUGUGAAAACUAUACCCACAAAUUCUUUGAUGCCCCUUCUUUCAAAAGGGGAAGGCUGAUUUCCCUCCCCUUGAAUGUGGGCUGGACCUGGCGCCUUGCUUUCAAUGAACAGACCGAUGCUGUGUGACUUCCAAGGCCAGCCAUACAAAGGCUGGUUUCUGCCUGAUGUUCUCUGUCUUGCAACACUGGCUUUGCAGGGAGCCAACUGCCAUGUGGUGAGGACACGUCAGCAGCCUGUAGAGAGGUCCACGUGGUGCACAUCUGCCACAAUCAGCACUGACUUGCCAACCACUAGAGGGAACUAUUUUGGAAAUGAAUUCUCUGGCCCCGGUCAAGCCUUCGGAUGAUUUCUGAAGUAGGAGAGACGCUGAGCUGUGACUGCUUAGCUCGGCUGAUGCCGGAUUCCUGACCCCCAGAAACCAUGCGAGGACGCCUGCCUCAGCGUGGCUUGGUAAUCGGUGUGUGGGUCCACGCCUGGGAUCUGAACCAGCAAACCCUGGGCCACCGAAGCAGAGUACGCAGAUUUAACCACUAUGCCCCUGGGCUGGCCCUGGUUGAGCAGCUUUUGGAUUUUGAUGGCGUCUGCCGUUGUCCUGGGGAAGGUGGUGUCGGUUUCCGGUUUCAUUGCGGUAACAUCUGACUAGUUCUGUGUAGCCUGGUGAUGCACUUCCCCAUGUCACCUCGUCUCACGCAGGCUGCCUGUGAGGAGCCUGGAGUCAGCUCUUGCCUGCCUGGUCCGAGCUGGUUGAGACCACUGACUCAUCCACUGGCCCUUGGAGAAUGGCCGAUAGGUGACUCUUUAACAUCAGGGGGCCAAAAACUCCACCCUCAGAUCAUGCUCAUGUCACCGAUUUGUGAACGUGUGUCCUCAAAGAGCCGUGAAGCUUGACUACGCCUGCACAGAUCAACCACCUCCCUUCUCCUACCUCUCAUCAUCUAUCCCCACACUGCGGACAGCCCUGCCUCUCUAUCCCAUAAAUAUCCCUAGUCCCCAUUUUCGAGGAGGUGGAUUUGAGACUGUUCUCCUGUCUCCUCGCUUGGCUGCCUUGUGAAUAAACCCUU